AUACCAAUCAUCUGGGAGUUUGUUAAAAUGCAGUUUCUCAUUGAAUAGGACUGGAGAUGAGCCUGAGAUCCUGCAUUUCUAAGAGGUUCUCAGAUGAGAAUU
RNAcentral lists this microRNA precursor (102 nucleotides) under Marmota monax (woodchuck). Lineage: Eukaryota; Metazoa; Chordata; Mammalia; Rodentia; Sciuridae. The record is from RNAcentral.